Molecule: ribosomal RNA, 635 nt
Filed under: uncultured bacterium
Lineage: Bacteria
Description: bacterial SSU rRNA
Rfam family: Bacterial small subunit ribosomal RNA
Source: RNAcentral
CGCGGCCUAUCAGCUUGUUGGUGGGGUAGUGGCCUACCAAGGCGACGACGGGUAGCCGGCCUGAGAGGGCGACCGGCCACACUGGGACUGAGACACGGCCCAGACUCCUACGGGAGGCAGCAGUGGGGAAUAUUGCGCAAUGGGCGAAAGCCUGACGCAGCGACGCCGCGUGAGGGAUGACGGCCUUCGGGUUGUAAACCUCUUUCAGCAGGGACGAAGCGCAAGUGACGGUACCUGCAGAAGAAGCACCGGCUAACUACGUGCCAGCAGCCGCGGUAAUACGUAGGGUGCGAGCGUUGUCCGGAAUUAUUGGGCGUAAAGAGCUCGUAGGCGGUUUGUCGCGUCGACUGUGAAAACCUACAGCUUAACUGUGGGCUUGCAGUCGAUACGGGCAGACUUGAGUUCGGUAGGGGAGACUGGAAUUCCUGGUGUAGCGGUGAAAUGCGCAGAUAUCAGGAGGAACACCGGUGGCGAAGGCGGGUCUCUGGGCCGAUACUGACGCUGAGGAGCGAAAGCGUGGGGAGCGAACAGGAUUAGAUACCCUGGUAGUCCACGCCGUAAACGGUGGGAACUAGGUGUGGGGGACUUCCACGUCCUCCGUGCCGUAGCUAACGCAUUAAGUCCCCGCCUGGGGA